RNAcentral lists this long non-coding RNA (1740 nucleotides) under Homo sapiens (human). Its description in RNAcentral is "HSALNT0001389". The record is from RNAcentral. Lineage: Eukaryota; Metazoa; Chordata; Mammalia; Primates; Hominidae.
ACUGCAACCUCUGCCUCCAGGGCUCAAGCGAUUCUCCCACCCCAGCCUCCGGAGUAGCUGGGACCACAGGUGUGCAGCACCAUGCCCAGCUAAUUGUUUAUUUUUUGUAGAGACAGGGUCUUGCUAUGUUGCCCAGGCUGGUCUCAAACUCCUGGGCUCAAGCGGUCCUACUGCCUCGGCCUCCCAAAGUGCUGGGAUUACGAGCGUGAGCCACCAUGCCCAGCCCCAGGAAAUUCUCAUUGCAUGAUUCAGUCCAACCAGCAGCUUCCUGGCUCCUAUUUGCCUUUCCAGAAAGCAGACUCUCCCAGGCUGAGCGCCAAGCCUGCCAUUCCUCCGUGAGAACCACAGUGAGUGCCAAUGAACACCCUGUAAACUGUCACUGUUGGAACAAUUGUGCUUCCAGGUCUGCGAGAAGCGCAGGGAAAAUGACAGCUUGCUCACUGCUCCCAAAGUGCUGGGAUUGCUCAGGGCUGAAGGUGCUUCAGAAACCCACGCUUUUUGUCCUCAAAGUUUUUUUGUAGGUUCUGAAAGUAAUGAUUUUUCUGGAUCCAUUAGUCAUAUGGGAGUAUUGCCUGGGUCCCCCUCCUUCAUCGCAAAGGGAAGAGUCAUAGAAUGAUGGAAAGAUGACUGGCUUAGAGUCUGAGACCUGAGUUCAAAUCCUGGCUCUGUUGCUAAUGAAAGCUGGGCCCCAGUUUCUCUACCUGUACCUUGGCAAUCAGAGUUCCCCGCUCAUGGUGUUGCUGAGAGACUCAAGACAGGCUGAGAUCCAUGGGAAUUUUCAGGAAUGUUUAUUUAAAUUUAUUUUUAUGUUCAUUAUUGUAAAGACAAGGUCUUGUUAUGUUGCCCAAGGUGGUCUUGAACUCCUGGGCUCAAGCAGUCCUCCUGUCAUGGCCUCCUAAAGUGCUAGGAUUACAGGCAUGAGCCACCAUGCCCAAGAACUUUCAGGAUCUUUUGAAGGACAACAUAAAUGUGAAUGACCCUGGUAAAUAAAACAUCCCAAGAGCUAGCUCGGUGCUGAGCCCAGUUCCGGCCUGCUUCAUCCCAGACACCCCAGCCUUGCUUUCUGCAUUUGCAGCUGCACUCCUGCCUCAGACCAGAAUCUCCCGGUGGCCCUAGGUGGCUGCAGGGAGCACGUGGCUCCUCCAGCCCAGGAAUCCAGUGGAGGAGAUUUCUGGAGACCACCAUGAUUCCACCCAGAGGGCAGCCCUUCCCUCCUACAGGACAUAUUCUUUCUAGAGCCACUGUGCAGCCGCUUCCAUAGGCGAGCCCUCCCUGAAUAGGAGCACAGUGGGAGCAGUUGGCUGAGCUCUGGGCUCACAGCUCAGGGCACAAGGGCAAAGAAGCCAUCCUCUCAAGCUCAUUGUCAUCCCUGGGGUAAAACAGAAGAUGGCCUGGUGGCCUUUGUGAGGUGAGUAAAGAAGCACAACAAGGAGGAGGAGAGAUCCAUGCCCCAUGUUCAGUGCAGAGAACGGCAUGUGCAAAGGCCCUGUGGCCGGAACACAUUUGGUGUCUCUGAGGAACGCUGCAACCAGAGCUCGGUGAGAAAAGGGAGGGCAGAGACAGAUGAUGCCCAGAAAGCGGCCAGGGCCAGGGAGGCAGACCACAGCUAGGGCUUCGGAAUUCCUUCAAGGUGUAAUGGGGGCCAAGUGUGGUGGCUCACGCCUCUAAUCCCAGCACUUUGGGAGGCCGAGGCAGGUGGAUCACCUGAGGUCAGGAGUUCGAGACCAGCCUGGCCAACGU